This 285-nucleotide long non-coding RNA is filed under the name Lathyrus oleraceus (garden pea). RNAcentral describes it as "Pisum sativum (pea) long non-coding RNA (PSAT_LNC042127)". Lineage: Eukaryota; Viridiplantae; Streptophyta; Magnoliopsida; Fabales; Fabaceae. The record is from RNAcentral.
GUUAUUGUUGUUGAUGCUUGUUGUUGUUGUUAUUUCUUAUUGUUGAAGAUGAUGCUUAUUAUUGUUGUUGAUGGUUAUGUAUUUGUUGUUGUUGAUGCUUAUUGUUGUUGUUGAUGCUUGUUAUUGUUGUUGUUGUUGUUGAUGAUGCUUAUUAUUGAAGAUGAUGCUUGUUAUUGUUAUUGAUGCUUAUGUAUUUAUUGUUGUUGAUUGUUGUUGAUGCUUGUUAUUGUUGAUUCUUAUUGUGAAUAUGAUGCUUGUUAUUGUUGUUGAUGCUUAUGUCUUGAU